GCAGUCGAACGACCUUCGGGGUUAGUGGCGCACGGGUGCGUAACGCGUGGGAAUCUGCCCUUAGGUACGGAAUAACUCAGGAAACUUGUGCUAAUACCGGAUGAUGUCGAGAGACCAAAGAUUUAUCGCCUAGGGAUGAGCCCGCGUAGGAUUAGCUAGUUGGUGGGGUAAAGGCCUACCAAGGCUACGAUCCUUAGCUGGUCUGAGAGGAUGAUCAGCCACACUGGGACUGAGACACGGCCCAGACUCCUACGGGAGGCAGCAGUGGGGAAUCUUAGACAAUGGGCGCAAGCCUGAUCUAGCCAUGCCGCGUGAUCGAUGAAGGCCUUAGGGUUGUAAAGAUCUUUCAGUGGGGAAGAUAAUGACGGUACCCACAGAAGAAGCCCCGGCUAACUCCGUGCCAGCAGCCGCGGUAAUACGGAGGGGGCUAGCGUUAUUCGGAAUUACUGGGCGUAAAGCGCACGUAGGCGGAUUGGAAAGUCAGAGGUGAAAUCCCAGGGCUCAACCUUGGAACUGCCUUUGAAACUCCCAGUCUUGAGGUCGUGAGAGGUGAGUGGAAUUCCGAGUGUAGAGGUG
Molecule: ribosomal RNA, 576 nt
Filed under: uncultured bacterium
Lineage: Bacteria
Description: bacterial SSU rRNA
Rfam family: Bacterial small subunit ribosomal RNA
Source: RNAcentral